This 521-nucleotide ribosomal RNA is filed under the name uncultured bacterium. RNAcentral describes it as "bacterial SSU rRNA". It matches the Rfam family "Bacterial small subunit ribosomal RNA", at positions 1 to 525 of the family's 1533-position model. The record is from RNAcentral.
UAGAGUUUGAUCAUGGCUCAGAUUGAACGCUGGCGGCAUGCCUUACACAUGCAAGUCGAACGGCAGCACGGGGCAACCUGGUGGCGAGUGGCGAACGGGUGAGUAAUGCAUCGGAACGUGCCAUUGAGUGGGGGAUAACGUAGCGAAAGUUGCGCUAAUACCGCAUAUUCUGUGAGCAGGAAAGCAGGGGACCGCAAGGCCUUGCGCUCUUUGAGCGGCCGAUGUCAGAUUAGCUAGUUGGUGAGGUAACGGCUUACCAAGGCGACGAUCUGUAGCGGGUCUGAGAGGAUGAUCCGCCACACUGGAACUGAGACACGGUCCAGACUCCUACGGGAGGCAGCAGUGGGGAAUUUUGGACAAUGGGCGCAAGCCUGAUCCAGCCAUGCCGCGUGAGUGAAGAAGGCCUUCGGGUUGUAAAGCUCUUUCGGCCGGGAAGAAAUCGCAUGGGUUAAUACCCUGUGUGGAUGACGGUACCGGAAUAAGAAGCACCAGCGAACUACGUGCCAGCAGCCGCGGUAAUA